This 271-nucleotide ribosomal RNA is filed under the name uncultured bacterium. RNAcentral's name for it is "partial 16S ribosomal RNA". It matches the Rfam family "Bacterial small subunit ribosomal RNA", at positions 524 to 796 of the family's 1533-position model. The record is from RNAcentral.
UACGAAAGGGGCUAGCGUUGUUCGGAUUACUGGCGUAAGGACAGCGCAGGCGGUCUUGCCAGUCAGGGGUGAAAGCCCGAGGCUCAACCUCGGAACUGCCUCUGAUACUGUAAGACUUGAGACUAGGAGAGGGUGGUGGAAUUCCCAGUGUAGAGGUGAAAUUCGUAGAUAUUGGGAGGAACACCAGAGGCGAAGGCGGCCACCUGGACUAGAUCUGACGCUCAGGUGCGAAAGCGUGGGGAGCAAACAGGAUUAGAUACCCGCGUAGUCC